This 928-nucleotide ribosomal RNA is filed under the name Staphylococcus haemolyticus. RNAcentral describes it as "bacterial SSU rRNA". It matches the Rfam family "Bacterial small subunit ribosomal RNA", at positions 37 to 946 of the family's 1533-position model. Lineage: Bacteria; Bacillati; Bacillota; Bacilli; Caryophanales; Staphylococcaceae. The record is from RNAcentral.
GGGCGGGGGGGCCUAUACAUGCAAGUCGAGCGAACAGACAAGGAGCUUGCUCCUUUGACGUUAGCGGCGGACGGGUGAGUAACACGUGGGUAACCUACCUAUAAGACUGGGAUAACUUCGGGAAACCGGAGCUAAUACCGGAUAAUAUUUCGAACCGCAUGGUUCGAUAGUGAAAGAUGGUUUUGCUAUCACUUAUAGAUGGACCCGCGCCGUAUUAGCUAGUUGGUAAGGUAACGGCUUACCAAGGCGACGAUACGUAGCCGACCUGAGAGGGUGAUCGGCCACACUGGAACUGAGACACGGUCCAGACUCCUACGGGAGGCAGCAGUAGGGAAUCUUCCGCAAUGGGCGAAAGCCUGACGGAGCAACGCCGCGUGAGUGAUGAAGGUCUUCGGAUCGUAAAACUCUGUUAUUAGGGAAGAACAUACGUGUAAGUAACUAUGCACGUCUUGACGGUACCUAAUCAGAAAGCCACGGCUAACUACGUGCCAGCAGCCGCGGUAAUACGUAGGUGGCAAGCGUUAUCCGGAAUUAUUGGGCGUAAAGCGCGCGUAGGCGGUUUUUUAAGUCUGAUGUGAAAGCCCACGGCUCAACCGUGGAGGGUCAUUGGAAACUGGAAAACUUGAGUGCAGAAGAGGAAAGUGGAAUUCCAUGUGUAGCGGUGAAAUGCGCAGAGAUAUGGAGGAACACCAGUGGCGAAGGCGACUUUCUGGUCUGUAACUGACGCUGAUGUGCGAAAGCGUGGGGAUCAAACAGGAUUAGAUACCCUGGUAGUCCACGCCGUAAACGAUGAGUGCUAAGUGUUAGGGGGUUUCCGCCCCUUAGUGCUGCAGCUAACGCAUUAAGCACUCCGCCUGGGGAGUACGACCGCAAGGUUGAAACUCAAAGGAAUUGACGGGGACCCGCACAAGCGGUGGAGCAUGGGGGU